RNAcentral lists this ribosomal RNA (496 nucleotides) under uncultured bacterium. RNAcentral's name for it is "partial 16S ribosomal RNA". It matches the Rfam family "Bacterial small subunit ribosomal RNA", at positions 29 to 507 of the family's 1533-position model. The record is from RNAcentral.
AUGAACGCUGGCGGCGUGCCUAAUACAUGCAAGUCGAGCGAACAGACGAGGAGCUUGCUCCUCUGACGUUAGCGGCGGACGGGUGAGUAACACGUGGAUAACCUACCUAUAAGACUGGGAUAACUUCGGGAAACCGGAGCUAAUACCGGAUAAUAUAUUGAACCGCAUGGUUCAAUAGUGAAAGACGGUUUUGCUGUCACUUAUAGAUGGAUCCGCGCCGCAUUAGCUAGUUGGUAAGGUAACGGCUUACCAAGGCAACGAUGCGUAGCCGACCUGAGAGGGUGAUCGGCCACACUGGAACUGAGACACGGUCCAGACUCCUACGGGAGGCAGCAGUAGGGAAUCUUCCGCAAUGGGCGAAAGCCUGACGGAGCAACGCCGCGUGAGCGAUGAAGGUCUUCGGAUCGUAAAACUCUGUUAUUAGGGAAGAACAAAUGUGUAAGUAACUAUGCACGUCUUGACGGUACCUAAUCAGAAAGCCACGGCUAACUACGUG